AGUGUUUGAUAAAGAAUAUUGCUUCCUGCGUGAGUUAUUAAUUUUCUCCCAGAGUUUCUCCAAUUCCUUCAAAAAGAUUGGCUUGUUACUGUUCUCCAAGGACUUAAAUCCUGUAUCAGUACAAUGUUCUUGGCCCAAAACAAACAAAAGCUUGCUUUUCAAUCUUCCCAUCACACAUUCCAGGGUAUUAUUCAAGUUCUUCUCAAUCGUAGUAGACCAGAUUCCCACUUCAAAUCUUUCAAAACAAAAUUUCAAGAAGUCUUCACAGUGGGGUCUCUUGUAAACUUGAAUGGUUUCAUAGGUUGCAUCCGGAGUGCAAUUUUUAGGCUUUUCUUUACUGAAUACCCUGACCCUAUGACAUAGAACUCCUGGGGCAAUCACAAGAAGUUUCUUCUUGGGCCAAGACUCAACUUCUCUAGUGAAAUUCCACCCAAUCCUCCUCUAUCUUCUUCACUAUCGCUUUCAUCAUAGCAACA
Molecule: unclassified non-coding RNA, 476 nt
Filed under: Hevea brasiliensis (rubber tree)
Lineage: Eukaryota; Viridiplantae; Streptophyta; Magnoliopsida; Malpighiales; Euphorbiaceae
Source: RNAcentral